Molecule: non-coding RNA, 207 nt
Organism: Oryza glumipatula
Lineage: Eukaryota; Viridiplantae; Streptophyta; Magnoliopsida; Poales; Poaceae
Source: Rfam
AAAGACUCAAUUUCUGGAUUUUCAUGUUCAAUGUUUGACUGUCCGUCUUAUAUGAAUUUUUUUUAUGAUUAGUAUUUUUAUUGUUGUUAGAUGAUAAAACAUGAAUAAUACUUUGUGCGUGACUUAUUUUUUAAAAUUUUUUUAUAAUUUUGUCAAAUAAGACGGACGGUCAAAUAUUGGACACGGAAACCCAGAAAUUGAGUUAUU